UUACUGUAACUGUAACCACCCAGACUACUGCUGGAUGUAUAGUUCCUGAACCACCCAGACUACUGCUGGAUAUAUAGACUAUAGUUACUGUAACCACCCAGACUACUGCUGGAUGUAUAGUUACUGGAACCACCCAGACUACUGCUGGAUAUAUAGACUAUAGUUACUGUAACCACCCAGACUACUGCUGGAUGUAUAGUUACUGUAACCACCCAGACUACUGCUGGAUUUACUGUAACUGUAACCACCCAGACUACUGCUGGAUGUAUAGUUACUUUCCUGAACCACCCAGACUACUGCUGGAUGUAUAGUUACUGUAACCACCCAGACUACUGCUGGAUGUAUAGUUACUGUAACUACCCAGACUACUGCUGGAUGUAUAGUUACUGAAAUGACCCAGACUACUGCUGGAUGUAUAGUUACUGUAACCACCCAGACUACUGCUGGAUGUAUAGUUACUGUAACUGUAACCACCCAGACUACUGCUGGAUGUAUAGUUACUGUAACCACCCAGACUACUGCUGGAU
Molecule: long non-coding RNA, 527 nt
Organism: Oncorhynchus tshawytscha (Chinook salmon)
Lineage: Eukaryota; Metazoa; Chordata; Actinopteri; Salmoniformes; Salmonidae
Source: Ensembl